AGUAAAAGUCGUAACAAGGUCUCCGUUGGUGAACCAGCGGAGGGAUCAUUACCGAGUUAUCCAACUCCCAACCCCUGUGAAUUAUACCUUUAAUUGUUGCUUCGGCGGGACUUCGCGCCCGCCGGGGACCCAAACCUUCUGAAUUUUUUAAUAAGUAUCUUCUGAGUGGUUAAAAAAAAUGAAUCAAAACUUUCAACAACGGAUCUCUUGGUUCUGGCAUCGAUGAAGAACGCAGCGAAAUGCGAUAAGUAAUGUGAAUUGCAGAAUUCAGUGAAUCAUCGAAUCUUUGAACGCACAUUGCGCCCGUCAGUAUUCUGGCGGGCAUGCCUGUUCGAGCGUCAUUACGCCCCUCAAGUCCCCUGUGGACUUGGUGUUGGGGAUCGGCGAGGCUGGUUUUCCAGCACAGCCGUCCCUUAAAUUGAUUGGCGGUCUCGCCGUGGCCCUCCUCUGCGCAGUAGUAAAACACUCGCAACAGGAGCCCGGCGCGGUCCACUGCCGUAAAACCCCCCAACUUUUUAUAGUUGACCUCGAAUCAGGUAGGACUACCCGCUGAACUUAAGCAUAUCAUAAAA
RNAcentral lists this ribosomal RNA (572 nucleotides) under Metarhizium brittlebankisoides. RNAcentral's name for it is "eukaryotic LSU rRNA". The stretch from base 188 to 341 matches the Rfam family "5.8S ribosomal RNA". Lineage: Eukaryota; Fungi; Ascomycota; Sordariomycetes; Hypocreales; Clavicipitaceae. The record is from RNAcentral.